UUAAAAUAAGUAAUAAUGAUAAAAUUAGUAAUUUUUUAUUGUUUAAUUAAUUUUUUAGUUUUUAGAUUUUAUUAAGGAAUUCGACAAUAAAUUUUUUCGCCUGUUUAAUAAAAACAUGUCUUUUUGAUAAUGAUUUAAAGUCUAGUCUGCCCACUGUAGAAAUGAAGGGCCGCGGUAUUUUAACUGUGCAAAGGUAGCAUAAUAAUUAGUUUUUUUAUUGAAAACUGGAAUGAAUGGCUGGACGAGAGAAAUAGUGUCUCAAUAAAAAUUAAUGAAUUUUAUUUUUAAGUGAAAAAGCUUAAAUAAUUUUAAAAGACGAGAAGACCCUAUAGAGUUUAACAUAAAGUUUAUAAUAAUUUAUUGGAAUCAUUUGUUAUUAUAAUGAUUUUUGUUUAGCUGGGGUGGCUUUAAAAUUGAUUUAACUUUUAUAAAUUUAAACACUUAUUUGUGAUUAUUUGAUCCAUAAUUUUGAUUAAAAGAUUUAAUUACCUUAGGGAUAACAGCGUAAUCUUUCUUUAGAGUUCUAAUCAAUAGAAGGGAUUGCGACCUCGAUGUUGGAUUAAAAUUUUAUAAUUUUUAAUUUUUAUUAAGAAAUUCGACAAUUAAUUUUUUUGCCUGGUUAAUAAAAGUAUGUCUUUUUGAUAAUGAUUUAAAGUCUAGUCUGCCCACUGUAGAAAUGAAGGGUUGCGGUAUUUUAACUGUGCAAAGGUAGCAUAAUAAUUAGUUUUUUUUAUUGAAAACUGGAAUGAAUGGCUGGACGAGAGAAAUAGUGGCUCAAUAAAAAUUAAUGAAUUUUAUUUUUAAGUGAAAAAGCUUAAAUAAUUUUAAAAGACGAGAAGACCCUAUAGAGUUUAACAUAAAGUUUAUAAUAAUUUAUUGGAAUCAUUUGUUAUUAUAAUGAUUUUUGUUUAGCUGGGGUGGCUUUAAAAUUGAUUUAACUUUUAUAAAUUUAAACACUUAUUUGUGAUUAUUUGAUCCAUAAUUUUGAUUAAAAGAUUUAAUUACCUUAGGGAUAACAGCGUAAUCUUUCUUUAGAGUUCUAAUCAAUAGAAGGGAUUGCGACCUCGAUGUUGGAUUAAAAUUUAUUUUUGGUGCAGAAGCUAAAAUAUUAAGUCUGUUCGACUUUUAAAAUUUUACAUGAUCUGAGUUUAAACCGGUGUGAGCCAGGUUGGUUUCUAUCUUUAAAUAAUUUAAGUACUUUAGUACGAAAGGACCAAGUAUUUAACUAAUAGUUUAAUUUUGAUUACUAUU
This 1251-nucleotide ribosomal RNA is filed under the name Dermestes maculatus (common hide beetle). RNAcentral describes it as "16S ribosomal RNA". The stretch from base 1012 to 1170 matches the Rfam family "Bacterial large subunit ribosomal RNA", at positions 2473 to 2632 of the family's 2925-position model. The record is from RNAcentral. Lineage: Eukaryota; Metazoa; Arthropoda; Insecta; Coleoptera; Dermestidae.